This 274-nucleotide ribosomal RNA is filed under the name uncultured bacterium. RNAcentral's name for it is "partial 16S ribosomal RNA". It matches the Rfam family "Archaeal small subunit ribosomal RNA", at positions 473 to 747 of the family's 1478-position model. The record is from RNAcentral.
AAACCAGCACCUCAAGUGGUCAGGAGGAUUAUUGGGCCUAAAGCAUCCGUAACCUGUUCUGUAAGUUUUCGGUUAAAUCCACUAGCUCAACUAGUGGGCUGCCGAAAAUACUGUAGAACUAGGGAGUGGGAGAGGUAGACGGUAUUCGGUAGGAAGGGGUAAAAUCCUUUGAUCUAUUGAGGACCACCUGUGGCGAAGGCGGUCUACCAGAACACGUUCGACGGUGAGGGAUGAAAGCUGGGGGAGCAAACCGGAUUAGAAACCCGGGUAGUCC